This 12894-nucleotide unclassified non-coding RNA is filed under the name Leishmania donovani. RNAcentral's name for it is "gene:LdHU3.32.0510(CDS-product:ATP-dependent_RNA_ helicase_putative)". Lineage: Eukaryota; Euglenozoa; Kinetoplastea; Trypanosomatida; Trypanosomatidae. The record is from RNAcentral.
UUCACAUUUGUUUUUACUUUCCCCUUCCUCGGUAAGUCAAGUCAUUUUAUUUUCGUUGUUUUCUUUACUUUUACUUUUUCUCUCUGUCUGCGCAAGACCCGAUCCAUCUUCCUCCUCCGCAGGCAAUCCUACACCUUACCCAUCCCCUGCCUCGCGUUCUCUCCACCACUACCUCUCCUUUCUCCGCUCUGAUCCUACACGUUUGCUAAGCAGGAAUCAUGUAUAAGAAUCAGGCGCAACCUCAGCCGCAGCCGCAGCCGCAGCCACAGGCGCAGCCACAGGAACCCUCUGCUGUCGCUGGUGCAAUGGGCGGCUACGGCAGCUAUCAGCAGCAGAACCGCCAGUACGGCGGCGGCAACCGUGGCUUCAACGAUGCUCAAGGCACCUACGGAGGCGGCUUCAAUCGCAACGGCGGCGGUGGCGGCUUCCGCGGCGGCUUUGGGGGCUUCGGCGGUGGCGCGCGAGGCCCGCCGCGCGAGUUCGUCGGCAACAAUCACUAUCACCGCGAAGAGAAGUCCGAGGAGGAGAUCUUCAAGGAGCACACUCCGGGUAUCAACUUCGACCAGUACGAGGCGAUUAAGGUGUCCAUCACUCCAAAUGACGUGGAGCCGGCGGAGUCCUUUGCCACGAUGGCGCUCGCCCCGGCGCUGGCGGAGAACGUGAACCGCUGCCGCUACCAGAAGCCAACGCCGGUGCAGAAGUACGGCAUCCCGUGCGUGCUGAACGGCAGCGAUCUGAUGGCAUGUGCCCAGACUGGCUCCGGUAAGACUGCUGCUUACCUCAUCCCGGCCAUCAACUUCAUGCUGGUCAACAACCUCAACCGCGCCAAGCCCACGAACAGCCAGUCCGCCCCGUCCGCGCUGGUGCUGUCACCGACGCGCGAGCUGUCCAUUCAGAUUUACGAGGAGGGCCGCAAGUUCACGUACCGCACCGGUAUUCGCUGCGUUGUCGUGUACGGCGGGGCGGACCCGCGCCACCAGAUCCACGAGCUGACCCGCGGAUGUGGUUUGCUGGUGGCGACGCCGGGUCGUCUGUCUGACAUGUUCACCCGCGGCUACACCCGCUACUCGGACGUCCGCUUCCUCGUACUCGAUGAGGCUGACCGCAUGCUCGAUAUGGGCUUUGAGCCGCAGAUUCGCGCGAUCGUCCAGGGCCCGGACAGCGACAUGCCACCGCCGGGUGAGCGCCAGACGCUGCUGUACUCAGCCACCUUCCCGAAGGAGAUUCAGCAGAUGGCCCGUGAAUUUCUGUACCACCACCACUUCCUGCAGGUCGGCCGUGUGGGCUCGACCACCGAGAACAUCACCCAGGAUGUGCGCUGGGUCGAAGACAUGGACAAGCGCGGCUGCCUGCUGGAGGUGCUAAAGGAGCACCAGGGCGAGCGUGUCCUCGUGUUCGUGGAGAAGAAGCGCGAUGCUGACUACCUGGAGCGCUACCUGCGUCAGAGCCGCAUCCCCUGCUCCUCCAUCCACGGCGACCGCGUGCAGCGCGAGCGUGAGGAGGCUCUCGACAUCUUCAAGAGUGGUGUGUGCCGCGUGCUGGUCGCAACCGACGUCGCCUCGCGUGGUCUGGACAUCCCCAACGUCGCGGUGGUGGUCCAGUACGACCUGCCCAGCAACAUCGAUGACUAUGUGCACCGCAUCGGCCGUACGGGUCGUGCCGGCAAGCGCGGUACGGCAAUCUCCUUCUUCAACGACAAGAACCGCAACAUCGUCGAUGACCUGAUCCCGCUUCUGCGCGAAACGAACCAAACGGUGCUGCCAGAGGUGCAGGCACUGGCCAAGAAGCCCAACGUGCAGAACCAGCCUCGCGGUCGCGGCCGUGGUGGCUUCCGCAGUGGUGGCUUCGGCGGCGGUUUCGGUGGCGGCUACGGUGGUGGCUACGGCGGUCGCGGCGGAUACCGCGGUGGCGGCGGCUUUGGUGGCGGCUACGGCGGCGGCUACGGUGGUGGCUACGGCGGCAACAACGGCGGCUACCGUCCCCGCGGCGGCUACGGCGGCGGUGGCUACGGCGGUGGCUACGGCGGUGACCGCAACAUGCGAUCUGACGUCUUUGGUCAGUAGAUGGAGUAGUAAAACUCCGUGUAGCUCUGAUGAGGGCGGCGUAAGGCAGGAUGGGCCACGUUCGCAGGCGAGAGAAAUGGCACUGUGCAGUCCCGUUUGCUCGCACGGUACCGCUACCACUUCUCUUCUCUCUUCCCUCUGUCUCCCGCGUAUCUUCCUCAUGCAACAAAGAACCACACCAGUAGGCUUCGUCUUUUCGUCGAUUAUACCUCCUUCUCCCCCUCCUGUGAGGUGCCUCCCCCCUCUCUUCCUCAGCGAGGCAAGCGAGACGCGCUGGCGUGAGAAGGGGAUGACGAACAGGAGGAAGGAAGAGAGGACGGGGCGGCUGGCUGGAGAGAUACAUCCGCGUCGGUGGCGCUGAUGCUGGCAACGAUAAAAAAAAUAAAGAACGAGAGUGAAAUAAUGAGGAGGCAUCGCCACAGACACUCCAGUAUGUGUGCUACUCAAACGCAGCCGUGCACCUCUCUCUCUGGGGUGCACCAGAGUGCGCACGCUCACACACGCUUUUCUCUGUCUCUGUCUCUGUCUCUCUCUGUCUUUCAGGUUCGUGAUGGUCAACGCCAAAUUGCCUGCAGAGCGAGAGAGGGAGGAAGAGAGACGUGAAUGAGAGAUCCCAGCGUGAAACGGAGAGAGCACGAGAGAAAAAAGUUGAGGCAGGGAGAAUUAGACACGUACACACACACACACGAAAAACAAAAUGACGCUAAACGCGAGAAGCACACAUCAUUUUCUAUUGAUUGUGAGAGAGAGAAAGCGAAGUGGGCAGGAGGGAGCACGCUUCGCUGUUGUCGCGAAGAGGAGGUGAGUGGGGUGAGGUUUGGGGGAGGGUGAGGAAGCAAGCGGAUGCAAGACCGAUAAAGCGGAAAGUUGUGUUGCUUCUUCUCCAUCUGCUUCCUCGUCUGACGGUGGUGCCUAUGCUCUUCCUCUCCUCCCCUCCCUCACCCUCUUUUCUGUUAACUAUGGUUGGCUUGAGCUACUCGAUGAACAGCAUCAUAUUCGAUUCGCUAUAUGCAUUGCUCUGUUUUUUUUUCUUUUCCUCGGAGGAAGACCCGCCGUACCUCACAAGACGCCUCUUAUCUCCCUAUGCUUGACUGUUGUGACGGGUGCUGCAAACCGCUCUCACAAGAGGGUGUAAAGCGCGCAUGAAGGACAGGGCGACUUGUACACGAAAGCAGAGGAAAACGGGGGAACGCCGUCAAUGAACGUCAUGAAAAUCGAUGAAGCGGAGGGAGCAAUGCAAAAAAAAGAAAGCCAAAGAGGGGCACUCCAAAUAAAGGAAAAAAAGGACGAAGGUGGAUUCUCAAACUCACGCUGAAGCGAGUAGAGUCUCUAGAGAGAUCGGUUUACCUCUGUGAUGCUGCGAUGAUUGUGUGUUUGUUGUUUCGUCGCCGCAUGACAGCCCUCUGCAUCACUCUCGAGCGAACUUGUGUGUUUGUUUCUCUCUCUGUGUGCUCUCUUCGUCUCUUUUUCUUUUGUUCUUUUUAUUUUUCGUUCGUCUCUCCGCCCCUGCACGACGGCCGUGGUUUGGUGUAUGUGUGGGUGUCUCUCUUUUCUUUCUACCUCCGUUCACCUCUCUCGCUCCCCCGUUUCUCUCCUUUUUUGUUCUUCUUAACGUUCCCCAAGUGCGCUCCUCCAUGUGUGGGCCCUUUUAUCAUUGUUAUAUCCUCAUACCUCCCCUCCUUUGCGUCAAGCCUUGCGCGCAACUUCACACACAUUCAUAUCCGGCAUGUGCGUGCGUGUUUGUGCAGUAUUCCUUCUUUGUGGCUCACGAUCAUACAUUUUUACACUCAGGCUCUCAUCGUGCCUUCUCUCUCUCUCUCGCUAUCUUUGCCUUUUCUUGAAUUUCCGGCGGUUAUGUGGCUUCUCUGCGUGUGUGUGCGCUUGUGUGGUUGGACGUGCUCGUUCUCCAAUGCGCCCUCGCCUUCAUUUUGUCUUUUCUCGGGCUCCGCGUGCCAUUUUAGUUUUGCUCGCCUUCUCGUGUGUUCUCCCACGACGAUUUCACCCCAAAUGGUUGUCUGCCCCCUCCCCCCGUUUUCGCGUCUUCUUCCUCGUUUCGUUUUGCGCGCUUUCGCUUUCGUUUUCUCCGUUGCUCCUCCUCCGUUCCCCACUGUGGCGUUUUCCCAUCGCCCCCGCCAGGCACAGACACACACACUCUCGUGUAUGUGUAGGUGUGUGUAGCGCGCUGCUUGCGAGAGGAAACGAAGCAGAGGACGAGUGAGAGAGGAUGUGUGAAGUGGGACUGCUGAAAGAGAGAGAGCAGAAUAAGGACACACCGACUCACCUGUUUGUGCGGGCACAGCAGGCGCGAUGCCGAGGUUACAGUGGCCAUUCGUGUACUCUUUCGCGUCUUUUCGUUUUUGCCGUGGAUGAUGCGCACCGGCUCUUCAAUUUUGUGUGCGCAGGGCAGGAAAAAAGGAAGGGCCUGAUAUCAAGGGCGUUGGUGUGAGGGGAUUAGUGGCGGCUGGUGGUGAAGUGUUUGUGAGACUGAACACAAGAGAGACGCGGCGAAGGAGGCAGUCAGGGGGAACAUAAGCGAAGGGAAAGCCAAAUGAAGAGGGACGCAGAAGUGACCCAUCGAAUCAAGAUGAAAGCACCCCAUUAUAUGCCGAUAUGCGCACUCGCACACACACUUACGCGUGAAGCCUCUGCGUCUCAUUUUUUUUUUCUUUCCCUGCGCCUCUUUCUCGCUUCAUGCCCUCUUUUUCACUUGCAGCUUCCUCCUCCUGCCUCACGCCUUGAACUCUCCUCGAUGACGGCGCCUUCUUUUUUUUUCUUUGCUCCUCCCUUUAUGUGCUUUUGUGUGUGUAGCGGUCUCUUUUGUUCUGGCUCUCUGCAUCUCUCCCCCUUCCUUCUGCCUCCUAGUGGACGUCUGUAGGAAGGAGCAACGAAGGAAAAGAAAAGCAGUAAAGGAAAUGAAGUUACCCGAACCAGCGAUGCGCUCUCUCAGGCACCUACACACCCACCCGCUCUCACGCAUCACAAGAGAGCCUGGAGAGCCCCUUCCUCCUCCCCCUCUCCCUUCCCCUUCCCCUCCCCCUUUUCCCUCCCCUCCCUCGAGAGGGAAACACCAAAGAAAAGAUAGCAAAAGAUAGUGAUGUAUACAUGAUGAGGCACAAAGAUGAAAUAAAUCCUCCAAUGCCCCCUCCCCUCCCUCCCCCCGUGUGUCUGUGUGCGUGUCUUCUUCUUGCUUUUGUCCGUUGCUGUGGUUCCUCUUUUGUUUCCAUUUUAUGUUCUUGUUUGUUUGCUCUUCUCACCCUUCGCUUCACUAUUUUUGUGAUUUGGUGGUGUGGUGCUCUCUCUGGCUUUUCGUUAUGUUGUCUUUACGGUGUUUCUCUUUCGUUUCUUUUCUUUCUUUUGGUGUGCGCGUGUGUGUAAGUCGACAUCCCAGCGUAUACUUGGGUCACUCACUUGAACCUUGUUCGACCCCAUCUUUCCUUUGCUCUCUUCUACUCCUUGACUACCUUCGUUGCCACCACCACCCUUUUUUUUAGGUAUGCUGGAGUGAAGAGGCGUGUUUUAUCGCCUCCGUCGCACUCCCAUUUAUGUUGUUUUCUGUGUUGCUCGCACGUAUUGUGUGGCCCCCUUUUUGUCUCGUUUCGCCAUUUCUCUAUGCCUGUUCUUUCCCUCCCUCAUUUGAUUGCUUCGUCAGUCUUGAACUUUUUCGCUCGUGUUUGUUUGUUUUCCUUCUACUUUCUGCGCUCUUCGGUUUUGGCUACAGCGCGCGUGUGUGCGUGUGUGUACGUAAUCUUGCGUGUGUACGUGUAUAUGAGUCGGUCCGUGCAUAUAUAUAUAUAUAUAUAUAUAUAUGCAUAUAUGUGCGUGGUGCGUGGUGCGUGGUGCGUGUGCGUGUGUGUGUGUGUAUCACCGUCAUUUAUUCCCCUGCUUCUGUUUUUUUUUUUGCUCUUUCGUCGUACCAUUCCCUCUUUCACCCUUCCCCGCAGCUCCCUCUCUCACGAACUCACUUCUCUCUUCCGUCUGCAGAUUUUCUGAGCGCACACUGUGCAUCUUCUCUAGUGGCCUGCUGUGCUUGUCAAGUUGUUGCUGUGCGCGCGUUUCUGUGGGUCUGGGUGAUGAUUGCCUCUUUACUCACCACCCCUGCUCUGGUCUCUGGUCACAUCAAAAGACGGACUCGCUUGCGCACCCCAUCUCUGCGUGUAUUUCGAGCUCUAACCAUCACGCAUCUUGCCCGCCUACUGUGGAGCUUCUUCUCUUGCACGCCUUCGCCAGCUAGCCUUCACAUCUCUAAGUGUUUGGUUCCUUUGUCUAUUGGGUCACUGCAUCAUGCGCGCUGCACUGCCAUUGCUGGAAGCACAAGCGCGGUGUGUAGCAGCGCACCUUCACUGCGCGAGAGAGAGCCAUCAGCGUUCCCACUAUGGAGGCACUGCAGCUGACGCGAUUUGCUGCAAGCACGGGGCAAGUGAGGACGUCGAGAGGUUCUGUGGUGUGUGUGUGUGUGUAUGCGUUUUUUUUUUCUCUUCUGGCGCGUGCUCCGCUCUGUGUGUCUUUCUAUGUUUUAGCGCGUCGCGCCUCGCUGUUCGUUCAAUGCUGCUGUUUCUUCGGAGCGUACGGCAAACACAAACGAGGAAGAGCGGAGUAUCCAACGGCGCACGCCCACACACUCACACGUACGCGAAAUUACCCGGCGUGACACGCACGACAGGUCUGCACGGACAGCGUUUUUUUUUUUCUCCCGUGCUCGAGAGAGAGAGGGCCGCUUUGAUGUGGAGCGAAGAAAGGGGUGCUUGAAAGACGCACUUGUUUUCCUUUAUCGCUCUUCAUCUGUUUCAGCGCUUCUCGAGGUACGAGCCAGCGUACACAUCCUCCUAAGAGAAGGAAGCGGGCACAGCAGCAACUGUAAACACGCAUGCGCGCGGGGAUAUGCAUACAAUGCACACACGCACACCGACGUAAGAUUUCUUGUUCUGCCUUUUUCAGCGCGUAUAGCAUUGCGGGGAACCGAUCGGAUCGAUACGGAACCGCUCACAUGACAUUUUCUAUGUUUCCUUCCGUAGCUGAUUGCUGACGCCGCUCUUGGACAUCUCGGCACAUGCUUAUGUGUGUGUGUGUGCUUGCUUUCCGCAAUUCUCAGCCUGAAGGACACAAAAUAAGCACACGUAAACUUACGCAGACACAUCUUCACCGACGCUCUCCGCAACCCGAGAGGGGUACCCACAAUACGACAUCAUUUUAUUAUUAUUCUUGUCGCACACAUACACGCUCUAGGACAAGCGCUUUCUUGCAAGCCAACACGGAACUCUUUCGCUCAGACACGGCGAAGCACACACACACACACACACUAAAAGGCCCUCUCUCUUUUUCUUUUUUUUUCCGUGCGCCAUCUCUUCGUUUUCUUCUCGGCAUACGACAUCUUUCGUUGAAUGACAGCUACUAGCACAAGAAGAGCAGGAAAGAAUGUGAGUGAUGGUAGGGAAGGGCCUGGUGCACAUUCGGAAAAAGAAGAGCAGGGAACCCAACGAGAAUGAAUGCGCCCACGGGCGAAAGAAAAGGCCCUUCCUCAAAGAAAGAAAAGAAAGGCAAACACCAUCGAAAGCUCGUCGAGCACACGUGCACGCUCUCUGUCUCUGCCUUUUUUCUUCGUCACAAGAUGACUCACAUUCGAAUGAGCGCCACCACCGGCUCCAGGCUACUCGCUGCUUUCCCGCACUUUUUUCUUUGCUCGUCUUUGCAAUGAAGAACUCCCAGGUACUGUGGCGCGAAAAAAAGUAAAAGACAGUCACUAAAAGGUCACCCUUCGUUCAAAAUUCUUCUAUGCUGUACAGACAUCUCCCUGCUUUUCCUCUUUUUGUCGAUGAACGAAAGCGGAUGUGGGCGAGAUGCAGCGGCGGCGGUGCAGAUGGAAAGCGGAGCUUGCUCUUAUAUUUAUCGACCGGUGUACUAGUGUGUUUGUGGCUGUUUAUGCUCGAGUGUUUGUGUGUGUGCGCGCGCCUCUCGCUCGAGGGGUAUCCGAGGUCUCAUUGGCGCAGCCGAUUUCUCGAUCAAACUCACUGUGCGCUUGUUGUCUGUGUGCGACACCUGACAUGCAAACACGUUUUGCAUCGUACUCUCUCUACCUCCCCUCUCUCACUGGGCCUCGAAAGAAACAGAAGGAGAAAACACCCGAUGAAGUCGAAAACAACAAAAAAGACUUGUGCGGCUACGGAAGAGGAAAACAAUAUAUAUAUAUAUAUAUACUUAGCUGUACAUACACAUAUACAUGCAUAUACAUCUGUAUAUCUAUAUAUAUAUAGAUACGUUUAUGUAUGGUAUGUAUAUCUAUGUAUCUAUAUCAACCGCUAAUGGUGAGGCAAAGACAAAAAAGACGGGAAACAGCAACAUAGACAGAAAAGGAAAAAAAAGAAGAUUGGCCAUGAUGCUUGUGCUCCUCUCCCCACACCUUUUCCCCUUUCCUUUCUUUUUUUCUUUUUUUUUUCCGCAUCUACCCUUCUUUUUCCUUCGUUUUUGUUUCUCUCUCUUCCAUUCUUCUUCGUUGCGGGUGAAAAGGACCGAGAAGAGUAUGUACAAACCGGGCACGGGGAGAACAGGGGCACCCAAGGAAAGAAAAAAAGAGCGACACUCUACACAAUCAUGUAUGCACUUGAGCAGCACACGAUCAAUGGCCGCGCUGAAUCGACACGGACAACAUCCACCGAUGCGCAGGGGUUCUUUUUUUUUAAUGGGCUUUGAUGUGUGCGUGCGUGCCUCUCUGUGAUUUUCUUUGUGGUGUUCUGCUUGCAGGCGUGCUGAUUCGCCCCCUCCGACCUUCCCUGUUUCCUACCCGCGCCUCUCCUCAUUUUUGCUUCUCUAACACAGAAAGCACCGACAGACAAUCCAGACUCUGACGCCAACAAUUACUUUUGUUCCCCUCCCCUCAAAAAAGAUAAAAACUAUUUUCAUCUCACUUCAGUGUGUGUGUGUGUGUGUGUGUGCCUUUGGUUCAUAUUUCUCGCCUUACGCUUUUACAUUCUCUUGUUUUUAUAUGUUUGCCUAUGUUUUGUUGCUGCGCGCUUUGGUCUGUGUGUGAGCUCUUGCAUGUUUGGCGCCGUCGUGUCAACGAUUUUUUCUUGGUGUUCGUUCCGUUGUUCUGCCUACUCUACUUUCUCGUCGGCGCUCGCACGUUGUUGCUUCGUUUUUUUCUUUUAUUUUCCGUCGAUGGAUGGCAAGGAAGAGAAAGAGCGUGUAGAUGAUUCUUUGAACCACAUGAAGAGUGGAAACAAGGAAUAAUAUACAAACCGACUCACAUGCUCUCCGCACAUGCUGUGCUACCUCCGAGCCUCCGCUAUGCGCUCUCUACGUCCCGGGUAGUGAAGCCACACGCAGGCACACACACACACACACACACACACACAGAAAAAAGCAAAAAUAAAGCGAAGAGAAUAAUGCGCGCAUAUGCACGCAAUUUCGCGGGAACCAACAACGCGUUGCCCACUUUCAGGCACAGAUGAGAAAAAAGAGGGCGUGGUGGAGGGAGAGGCCUGAGUUACCCGAACUCACGCCCAUCUUCCACCCAUCUUAUAUCUUCUCUUUGUUUCUCUCUUGCGAUGGACGCUUGCACUCUGUACUCCAUGAAGCGGAAGGGGAAGAGAGAAGAGCGACGAAAACAAUCCGGCGACGAAAAAAAGAAGCGUGCCUGUGUGGCUCUUUCGUGUCUCAAGGUGUGCAUGCCUGCGUGCGCAUACGCGAAUACGUCUCUGCGUACCUGUGUGCGUGUGUGUGUCCCUCCCUACCUGAGCGCACGCAAAUGAAGGUUUGGGAAUGACACCGCUGGCAAGGGAGGAGAGGAAACACAAUUCGAUCGCCGUCCCCACACACACGGACAUUCAAGAGCAAAAAAAAGAAAAGACUGAACACGAAGAAAAAAAUCAGCAACCUCAUUUACCACUCACACACGGAAUAGAGGAACGAACCAGCUAACCAAACAAACGCACAAAAAACUAAGCUACACACAGAACAAACACACACACACACACACAAGGAUGCCGGACGCUGUCCUGUUCUUUUUUUUAACCCUUUCUUGUGUGCUGCCCGGGCUUACCUUCAGACAUGUCUCCCGCCCUCUAUCUGUCUCUAUAUAUCUUUUUUCGGUUCUCCUACUCUUUUUUUUGCUUCUGUUCCGGUUGAUGUGAUAUGUCUUCUAUUUUUUUUUUGCUUUCUUUGUGCAUCUUUUCUUUUCGGUUUUUCUUUUUUUUGGCCUCGCAUUUGUGUUUUGUGUCGAUUUCGUUUUUUUUUUUCGGUCCUCUCGCGUGCGUGUUUGUCAGUUGCUUCUCCUUUCUUUUACACGUUUUGGUAUUUUGUGCGGCGCGUGUGAGUGUGUGUGUGUGUGCGGUGCCUCGCGGGCAUCUCUGACGGUCUUUGUAGAGCAAAGGACAAGAAAGGAAGCAACAAAGAAACACGUGGAUGGAUAGUAGAAACAAAAGAUUGCUGCUGUAGCUUGACUUAUCUGUUCCCUCUCUCUGUCUGUCUGUUUUUCUUUUUCAAGGUGCUCCUCUGUCUUGUACUUCUUUUUGAAAAUGAUCUUUUUUGCCCCCCCCCCCCCCCACACACACACACACACCUCACUUGUUUUCUUUUCAAGUUGUGUCUUCUCUGGUUUGGCGUUGUUUUCGAUCUCUAUUUUGCGAUUUCGCACCCUUCCUCCAUAUCCCUCCCCUGCAGUCCGGCGUUGCCGCGCCCCUGUCCCGUCUUUCACACUUCGACUGUCACGCCCUUCCCUCUCUGUGUCUGUCUCUCUCCCUGCCUCUCUGCGUCCUCCACGAGCACACAUCUACGCUCUUCUUUUUGCUCCUCUUCUCUUCACUUGUGUUAACUCUCAGGAGGUUCAGAGUUUUUUUCUUUCGCGUCUGGUCUUUUUUCCUUGGCCUUUGUCCCCCCCCCACUUCUGCCGCCCCCUCUCUUCUUUGCGGUUUGUUGUUGUUGGCGUGCUUGGGCUUUGGGCUGCCCCCGCCUCUCUUCGCCCUCUCUCCCUGUGUUGUGUUGCGUGCUUGUGUGUCUUUCUGCCCUUUUUUGUUCAUGCGAGUGGGCUCAUGUCCCUGCUUUCCAGCACUGUCACCUUCCUGGUUGGUCUGUUCAGCGCAUCUGUCAAGCACACACACGCACACAACAUGCAACCUUUCAGUUUUCUCUUUUUUUCUCACUUUACAUCGCAGCUGAAGUAGAGACGAGCAUGCCUUUAUAAACAUAGACAUAUGCACGCACCGAGGCCGCCGAGAAUUCUCUCUUUGCCGCGUCUGACUUCUAUCUAUCUAUUCUCGCCCCCUACUUCUCUCCCUAUUCUGCUGUUCGUUAAUUCCUACGCUGUCAGUCGAAGAAAGCACGACGGAGAGAGCGCAAGAAGCGGACCAAGUGAGCCACGCUGGAGUUUGCUCAACCUGCGCAAGAGACGAGGAAGUGCGGGGUCAUACGUAAAGCUUGUUGCAUCCGCUGCGACGGCCAACGAAGGGCACCAAGAACAAGAUAAGAGAUAGAGAUAGCUGGAGUAUACCGGAGUUCGAGCGAUGCACCAAGGCAGGGCCAACUUGAAGGCAGAAAAAAAAAGGUGCCACCGAGGGCAUAUGGAAAGCAAAAAGAAAAGCGAAAGACAAAAAGGAGGUGUUUCAGCUUCUCGCCUCGCAGGCCGGGAACUGGGAAAAUAGAAAAAGCAACCAUGGCAAGACGAGGGGCUUUCUGCGUCUCGCUAGGUGAUGCAUGUGGAGGAGAACAGCGAUCCUCCACACACCCACAUACAGACACCCAUACACACGAACCCCUGCAUACACUGACACAGGCCCUCAUAGAAUAUCCUUGCUCUCUUUCAUGGGCCACUGAUUGUACACUCGCGUUGAUCGAGCUCACGAGCACAGCUGAGGUGUGCGUUUUUGUGCGUAUGUUUUCUUCGAUCUUCCUUUUGUGUUGCUGGUGUACAUAUCUGUGUGUGUGUGCAUACGCGCGCAAUGUCAGCUUUUGAUAUCCUUGCGUGCGUGCUUGCAGGAGGGAAGGGGUGGGAGGUUGAUAUGCAGGUUGCAAGAUGAACGUCGACACAGCUUUUCUUACAAGAAAAGAAUGACGGUAACCCUUUUCUGAUUGUAUUUUUCUCGGCUUCCUCGCUUGUUAGUUUCUUUUGGCUUCUCUGGCUCUCUUCCAUUCUACGCGAGUUUCUGCGCCCCUUUCUCGCUGUUCCUCUCUCCCCCGCACUUGCCAAUAGGUAAUAACGGGAAAACGAAGGCAAAUUGCGCCAGGAUCUUUACACAUCCUUGUUGUUCGUGUCAAAUUUUUUUUUUCGAUGUGUCUCUGCCCUCGCUGACGUGGUGCGGAUGACCACCGAAAGAGAGAGGGGAGGAGAGCUACAAGCGUGUAGCGGAGAGCUCUAUGCGACGAAGAGUGAGUGAAAGAGUACAAGUGAAGAGGACGAGAAGGGUGGGACAGGGUCAUCUUCUAAGUAGACGGCCCCACUAAUAUAAGAAAGCAAGGAAAGACACACACACACACACAAAAAGAUCAUUGCACGCACGUAUAAAGAGUGUGUGCGCUGACUGAAUGUUAUGUUUUGAAUUCAAUCGAGAAAAAAGCAACUCUGCGACAUGCACGUAAGGACGCACUCACACACCGCACAGCCCCCCUCCCCCUCUCUUUCCCCCUAAAUGGGCAUGCGUGUCUAUGUGUGCCAGUGCGUGUGAGGGGGGUGGGUGGGUGGGAUGGGAGCGGUGCAGGGGGUCCUCCCGCUCAUCUCUCUGCCUCUCGUAUUUACCGCCGUGCAUCAUUUCUCGCCCUUCUUGCUCCCCUCCUUCCUCCCCCCCACGUGCUGCAGCAGCCCUUGUAGUGUCAUUGUCGCUUCCUGUGCGAGGGGGUGGGGUGUGGG